ACAAACUUGGUCAUUUAGAGGAAGUAAAAGUCGUAACAAGGUCUCCGUUGGUGAACCAGCGGAGGGAUCAUUACCGAGUUUACAACUCCCAAACCCCCUGUGAACUUAUACCAUUACUGUUGCUUCGGCGGGUUAUUGCCCCGGGGAAAGGACCAGGUGCCGUCAAGGUUCCCUGCCCGCCCCCGGAAACAGGCGCCUGCCGGGGGACUCAAACUCUUCUGUAUUUUUUAUUUUACUGUUAUACUGUCUGAGUAAAAAACUAUAAAUGAAUCAAAACUUUCAACAACGGAUCUCUUGGUUCUGGCAUCGAUGAAGAACGCAGC
This 323-nucleotide unclassified non-coding RNA is filed under the name uncultured fungus. RNAcentral describes it as "partial contains small subunit ribosomal RNA, internal transcribed spacer 1, and 5.8S ribosomal RNA". The stretch from base 1 to 73 matches the Rfam family "Eukaryotic small subunit ribosomal RNA", at positions 1759 to 1831 of the family's 1831-position model. The record is from RNAcentral. Lineage: Eukaryota; Fungi.